AGGGGCGUAGCUCAGCUGGAAGAGCAGCGGUCUCCAAAACCGCAGGUCGGGGGUUCGAGUCCCUCCGCCCCUGCCA
Molecule: transfer RNA, 76 nt
Filed under: Chloroflexota bacterium
Lineage: Bacteria; Bacillati; Chloroflexota
Also listed under: 2 other names
Description: Chloroflexi bacterium tRNA-Trp
Rfam family: tRNA
About the family: Transfer RNA (tRNA) molecules are approximately 80 nucleotides in length.
Source: RNAcentral